AACGCGAAGAACCUUACCUACCCUUGACAUGUCCAGAAUCCCCGAGAGAUUGGGGAGUGCCUUCGGGAACUGGAACACAGGUGCUGCAUGGCUGUCGUCAGCUCGUGUCGUGAGAUGUUGGGUUAAGUCCCGCAACGAGCGCAACCCUUGUCAUUAAUUGCCAUCAUUCAGUUGGGCACUUUAAUGAGACUGCCGGUGACAAACCGGAGGAAGGUGGGGAUGACGUCAAGUCCUCAUGGCCCUUAUGGGUAGGGCUUCACACGUCGUACAAUGGUCGGUACAAAGGGUUGCCAAGCCGCGAGGUGGAGCUAAUCUCAGAAAGCCGAUCGUAGUCCGGAUCGUAGUCUGCAACUCGACUACGUGAAGUCGGAAUCGCUAGUAAUCGUGGAUCAGCAUGUCACGGUGAAUACGUUCCCGGGUCUUGUACACACCG
This 433-nucleotide ribosomal RNA is filed under the name uncultured bacterium. RNAcentral describes it as "bacterial SSU rRNA". It matches the Rfam family "Bacterial small subunit ribosomal RNA", at positions 958 to 1392 of the family's 1533-position model. The record is from RNAcentral.